RNAcentral lists this ribosomal RNA (254 nucleotides) under uncultured bacterium. RNAcentral's name for it is "partial 16S rRNA". It matches the Rfam family "Bacterial small subunit ribosomal RNA", at positions 505 to 758 of the family's 1533-position model. The record is from RNAcentral.
GUGUCAGCCGCCGCGGUAAUACGAAGGGGGCUAGCGUUGUUCGGAAUCACUGGGCGUAAAGCGCACGUAGGCGGAUUGUUAAGUCAGGGGUGAAAUCCCGAGGCUCAACCUCGGAACUGCCUUUGAUACUGGCGAUCUAGAGUCCGGGAGAGGUGAGUGGAACUGCGAGUGUAGAGGUGAAAUUCGUAGAUAUUCGCAAGAACACCAGUGGCGAAGGCGGCUCACUUGCCCGGAACUGACGCUGAGGUGCGAAA